CCUACGGGCGGCAGCAGUGAGGAAUAUUGGUCAAUGGACGCGAGUCUGAACCAGCCAAGUAGCGUGAAGGAUGACUGCCCUAUGGGUUGUAAACUUCUUUUAUAUGGGAAUAAAAUGUUCCACGUGUGGGAUUUUGUAUGUACCAUAUGAAUAAGGAUCGGCUAACUCCGUGCCAGCAGCCGCGGUAAUACGGAGGAUCCGAGCGUUAUCCGGAUUUAUUGGGUUUAAAGGGAGCGUAGGUGGAUUGUUAAGUCAGUUGUGAAAGUUUGCGGCUCAACCGUAAAAUUGCAGUUGAAACUGGCAGUCUUGAGUACAGGAGAGGUGGGCGGAAUUCGUGGUGUAGCGGUGAAAUGCUUAGAUAUCACGAAGAACUCCGAUUGCGAAGGCAGCUUACUGGACUGCAACUGACACUGAGGCUCGAAAGUGUGGGUAUCAAACAGGAUUAGAUACCCGGGUAGUC
This 460-nucleotide ribosomal RNA is filed under the name uncultured bacterium. RNAcentral's name for it is "partial 16S ribosomal RNA". It matches the Rfam family "Bacterial small subunit ribosomal RNA", at positions 338 to 795 of the family's 1533-position model. The record is from RNAcentral.